GUGAGGUAAUGGCUCACCAAGGCUAAGACGGAUAGCUGGUCUGAGAGGAUGGUCAGCCACACUGGGACUGAGACACUGCCCAGACUCCUACGGGAGGCUGCAGUCGAGAAUCAUUCACAAUGCGCGAAAGCGUGAUGAUGCGACGCCGCGUGGAGGAUGAAGGCCUUCGGGUUGUAAACUCCUGUCAGCAGGGAUUAAAUGCAUCUUGGUCAACAGCCUUGAUGUUUGACUUUACCUGCAGAGGAAGCCACGGCUAACUUCGUGCCAGCAGCCGCGGUAAUACGAAGGUGGCGAGCGUUGUUCGGAUUUACUGGGCGUAAAGGGUGCGUAGGUGGUUUGGUAUGUCGGAUGUGAAAGCCCACGGCUCACCCGUGGAAUUGCAUUCGAAACUGCCAGACUAGAGUAUCGGAGAGGUAAGUGGAAUUCUUGGUGUAGCGGUGAAAUGCGUAGAUAUCAAGAGGAACACCGGUGGCGAAGGCGACUUACUGGACGAAUACUGACACUGAUGCACGAAAGCUGGGGUAGCGAAGAGGAUUAGAUACCCUCGUAGUCCCAGCCGUAAACGGUGUGCACUUGGUGUAGGAGGU
RNAcentral lists this ribosomal RNA (587 nucleotides) under uncultured bacterium. Its description in RNAcentral is "bacterial SSU rRNA". It matches the Rfam family "Bacterial small subunit ribosomal RNA", at positions 252 to 830 of the family's 1533-position model. The record is from RNAcentral.